AUGCGCAGACCCGGCGCUGCUCUCCGCCACGUGCUCCCCUCUCGCCACGUGCUCCGCGCACCCGGCCUUGCGCAUGCGCAGCAUCACUUCGCGCAUGCGCAGACUCCUCACUGCUCUCCGCCACGUGUUGAAUGGCCACGCUGUGGUUUUGGAGCUGAGGUCGCUGCAGGGCUGGGUGAGGAAAGCAGGCACCAGUUGUUGAAGGAGCAGCCGUGUUCGAUUGGAAGGGUGCAGCUUCUGUUCCUGCCCUCCUUAGAGCAGCCACCAGUCAGACUCUGGGUGUCAGCUGCACAUCCACCAGCAGAUGUGAAUUUGCAGGAGUUGAGGAAAAACAAAAGACUUUCUUCUGGAGCGCAGCCUUAUGACACAGCCUGCCAGCCUCUCUGGAUUUGUCCUUAGUCCCACAGUUGUGCCCACAGACCCAGAUCCAGGCUCUAUGCACACACAGAUUAGUCUUUGCCCCCAGGGCAUUACAAUUUAAACAGACCAAACUAAGCAACGUGAAGACAGAUCAACUGUAUGAAACAACAACAGAUGAACGAAAAAUGAGCCUAGAUGUUUUCUAUCUGUGGCCACUAGAUCAUACUUCAAGUUUUUUUUUCCUCAGUAUGAAUAUAAGGGAGAAUGAGUGUGAACAGAUGGUACGUAGAGGGAAGGAAGAGAUGAAUGUUAAGAUAGAAAGUCACCUGGGUGAGAGAAAUACAAAAAGUUGGACUCCAUAAAAAGAAAAUGCUGCUGCUUCUAAUUUAGAUUUUUGAUCGAGGCAUUUGCAGCAAUCUGAGUACUGUGAUUGAGAGAUGUUUGCCUUACCAUUAGAAGCCCGUGUGGCCCAUGAAUUCUCAGAGCCACAGCCUUCACGUUUCAGGGAUACAUCCACACAUCUCUGGAGAGCAGCUGGAAUAAAGUUGUGCCUCCAGCAAAGACA
This 925-nucleotide long non-coding RNA is filed under the name Phasianus colchicus (ring-necked pheasant). RNAcentral describes it as "lncRNA (ENSPCLG00000009802.1)". The record is from RNAcentral. Lineage: Eukaryota; Metazoa; Chordata; Aves; Galliformes; Phasianidae.